This 1244-nucleotide ribosomal RNA is filed under the name Novosphingobium sp. LeSa44c. RNAcentral describes it as "partial 16S ribosomal RNA". The stretch from base 264 to 1244 matches the Rfam family "Bacterial small subunit ribosomal RNA", at positions 1 to 1325 of the family's 1533-position model. Lineage: Bacteria; Pseudomonadati; Pseudomonadota; Alphaproteobacteria; Sphingomonadales; Sphingomonadaceae. The record is from RNAcentral.
GUCUUUUUUACCUUUUUUUUUUUUUUUUUUGGGACCGUUUUUUGUUUUUACCAGCAGGGGAGCCUUAGGUCAGCGAAGAUUUGGAUCAGGGGAUGUCCUACGUUGGAUCCCCUGGUGGAUACAGGAAAUUCGUUAUCAGAGAGUGUGGACAAUUUUUUGCCAGGAUAGCCGGUAGAUAGUAGUGUGGGUAUGCCAGCAUCCGCGUCCUAGCUGUAGAGAGAUGUCAGCCGACUGGACGAGCCCGGCUAGAUCUAGGGAGCUGCGUGGUAUAUGGCAUGAGGAAGCCUAUAAGCAUGCGGGGAGUGAGAUGCCUUAGGAUGUAAGCUAUUUCCCAGGAUGAUAUGACGUACGUGAGAAUAAGUCCGGCUAAUACGUGCCAGCAGCCGCGUAAUACGAGGGACUAGCGUGUUCGGAUUAUUGGGGUAAAGCGCUCGUAGGCGGUUAUCAAGUCAGAGUGAAAGCCCGGGCUCAACUCGGGAAUUGCCUCUGAAACUAGGUGACUAGAAUCAUGGAGAGGUCAGUGGAAUUCCGAGUGUAGAGGUGAAAUUCGUAGAUAUUAGGAAGAACACCAGUGGCGAAGGCGAUUGUCUGGACAAGUAUUGACGCUGAGGUGCGAAAGUGUGGGGAGCAAACAGGAUUAGAUACCCUGGUAGUCCACGCCGUAAACGAUGAUAACUAGCUGUCCGUGUAUUUGGUACUUGGGUGGCGCAGAUAACGCAUUAAGUUAUCCGCCUGGGGAGUACGGUCGCAAGAUUAAAACUCAAAGGAAUAGAGGGGGGCGUGCACAAGCGGUGGAGCAUGUGGUUUAAUUUGAAGCAACGCGCAGAACAUUUCCAGUGUUUGACAUAUCGGUCGGGGAUUUGGGAGACCAUUUCUUUCAGUUAGGCUGGUCUGUGCACAGGUGAUGCAUGUCUGUAGUCAGCUUGUGUAGUGAGAUGUUGGAUUAAGUCCCGCAACGAGAGCAUCCUUCGUCGUUAGUUGCCAGCAUUUGUUUGGGCUCUUUAAGGAAACUGCCGGUGAUAAGCCGGAGGAAGGUGGGGAUGACGUCAUGUCCUCAUGCCCUUUACACGGGGGGUUACACACGUGAUACAAUGGCGGUGACAGUGGGCAGCUAGCACGAGAGUGUGAGAUAAUCUACAAAAGCGGUUUCAGUUGGAGAUUUUUUCUCUAAUUCAGCACACACCGCCCGUAGAGUUUAUCCUGCUCAGCACACCCCCCCGGUCUAUCCCCCCCUUAUUAUUUUU